This 373-nucleotide ribosomal RNA is filed under the name uncultured organism. RNAcentral describes it as "partial 16S ribosomal RNA". It matches the Rfam family "Bacterial small subunit ribosomal RNA", at positions 527 to 896 of the family's 1533-position model. The record is from RNAcentral.
GUAGGUGGCAAGCGUUGUCCGGAAUUAUUGGGCGUAAAGCGCGCGCAGGCGGUUCUUUAAGUCUGAUGUGAAAGCCCACGGGCUCAACCGUGGAGGGUCAUUGGAAACUGGAGAACUUGAGUACAGAAGAGGAAAGCGGAAUUCCACGUGUAGCGGUGAAAUGCGUAGAGAUGUGGAGGAACACCAGUGGCGAAGGCGGCUUUCUGGUCUGUAACUGACGCUGAGGCGCGAAAGCGUGGGGAGCAAACAGGAUUAGAUACCCUGGUAGUCCACGCCGUAAACGAUGAGUGCUAAGUGUUAGGGGGUUUCCGCCCCUUGGUGCUGCAGCUAACGCAUUAAGCACUCCGCCUGGGGGGUACGGCCGCAAAGGCUG